RNAcentral lists this ribosomal RNA (253 nucleotides) under uncultured bacterium. RNAcentral describes it as "partial 16S ribosomal RNA". It matches the Rfam family "Bacterial small subunit ribosomal RNA", at positions 524 to 776 of the family's 1533-position model. The record is from RNAcentral.
UACAGAGGUCUCGAGCGUUAGGCGGAAUCACUGGGCUUAAAGCGUGUGUAGGUGGAUGCCUAAGUACCUUGUGAAAUCCCACAGCUUAACUGUGGAACUGCUUGGUAUACUGGGUGUCUUGAGUCACUCAGGGGCGAGCGGAACAAAUGGUGGAGCGGUGAAAUGCGUAGAUAUCGGAAGGAACACCUGUGGCGAAAGCGGCUCACUGGACCAUUACUGACGCUGAUGCACGAAAGCUAGGGGAGCAAACAGG